Molecule: ribosomal RNA, 254 nt
Filed under: uncultured bacterium
Lineage: Bacteria
Description: partial 16S ribosomal RNA
Rfam family: Bacterial small subunit ribosomal RNA
Source: RNAcentral
UACAGAGGUCUCAAGCGUUGUUCGGAUUCACUGGGCGUAAAGGGCGCGUAGGCGGCCAGCACAAGUCAGUUGUGAAAUCUCCGGGCUUAACUCGGAAAGGUCAACUGAUACUGUGCGGCUAGAGUGCGGAAGGGGCAACUGGAAUUCUCGGUGUAGCGGUGAAAUGCGUAGAUAUCGAGAGGAACACCUGCGGCGAAGGCGGGUUGCUGGGCCGACACUGACGCUGAUGCGCGAAAGCCAGGGGAGCAAACGGG